This 71-nucleotide transfer RNA is filed under the name marine eukaryotic metagenome. It matches the Rfam family "tRNA". Rfam says of the family: Transfer RNA (tRNA) molecules are approximately 80 nucleotides in length. Their secondary structure includes four short double-helical elements and three loops (D, anti-codon, and T loops). Further hydrogen bonds mediate the characteristic L-shaped molecular structure. tRNAs have two regions of fundamental functional importance: the anti-codon, which is responsible for specific mRNA codon recognition, and the 3' end, to which the tRNAs corresponding amino acid is attached (by aminoacyl-tRNA synthetases). tRNAs cope with the degeneracy of the genetic code in two manners: having more than one tRNA (with a specific anti-codon) for a particular amino acid; and 'wobble' base-pairing, i.e. permitting non-standard base-pairing at the 3rd anti-codon position. The record is from RNAcentral.
GGGGUGUAGCUCAGUUGGGAGAGCGCCUGCUUUGCACGCAGGAGGUCAUCGGUUCAAGUCCGUUCACCUCC